Chelonia mydas (Green sea turtle) is the source of this 229-nucleotide long non-coding RNA. RefSeq lists it as uncharacterized. The record is from RefSeq and is a predicted model, not a curated record. NCBI's taxonomy places the organism in Eukaryota, Metazoa, Chordata, Testudines, Cheloniidae. The transcript has 3 exons.
GGAGCUGUAGGAGGAAGCCGCACUAUUGGAGGAAUUGAGCAGUACAAACUAUUUCAGGCGCAAGGAAGGAGGCCCUGAGUUGCCAGAACCAACAUCCUGGAUAUUUUUGCAGCUUUGGACCAAGACAUCAACAUCUUGAGAGCCACCCUAGAGCACCCCAACACUAGGAGAUCUACUGAGAUGCCACCUGUGGGCAAGAGACACAGUAAUGCUUAAUGUGAUAUUCCAU